CUGGGAUUAAAGGGGUGAGCCACUGUACCUGGCAACACCUUUAAAAAUUUCUUCACCCACCUAUCCACCUUUAAAGUUGUUCUUUGAGGGCUUUCAGGAAUGAGGUUAAUCCAAAUAGGAUAAGGCAGUUUUGUUCCCAGGAAGUAUUUAACACACUGGUUCUCAACUUUCCUACACAUUAGAAUCACCUCGGGGAGGUUUGUGAAAAUGCAGAUUGCUGGUCUCCACUCCCAUCCAAUUCAGUAGGUCCGAGCUGAAGUCUGAGAAUUUGCAAUUGUAACAACCUCCCAGAUGACACUGCUGGUCUGGGAAAUCACACUUUGAAAACCACUGAACAAAUUGUCAAAAAAUAAUUGCUGACAGUCAGUAAUGUAAUAAAUCCAUUAGCCCCCUCCAGCCAAGGAGGGAAGACUGGGUAAAGAAGCCAUAGACGGUGGCAGUGACCGGGGUCAAAAGAUGUUGCCACUAUGGGGUUGUUCCUAGGUAUCUAUGGAGUAGCAUACCAAAAAGGCCAGAAUUUUCUGUUGGGUAUUGCUGCUCAUCUAGAAAACACCAGCUACCAAUAGAUGUCCUCUCUGUGCCGAAAUACUGCUUACCUCAGGGGAUAUUGGCUUGCUUGCUUCCUUUUCUGCCACCGCCCUCCCCCACACCCCCCACCAUGCAAAUCCCCCUGGGAAAGAAGAAAGUUGGACAGGAACAAGAUAGGUUAGACACUUACAAAUCAACUCAUCAACAAGUCACAGAAGGCAUAAUUUUAAUUCUGAAAGAGAAUAUAAAUCCUAUGAGCCCUGGCAAUGUCCACAUUGAAAUUUAUGACAAUAGUUUGGGAGGUGGAAGCAGAGAAAGAGACCUGAUGGGCGUGUGGGAACCCUACUAUUAAAUAGCACAGAGGGAAGAGGAACUGUUUUAAGGUGAAAGACUACAGAAUAAAGUUUUGAGAAUAUUAUUUAAAGUCCUGAUGGUAACCGAUAGAAAACCUAGAAAUAAGAUUGUAUCUGACUAAAUAUGGGACAAGUCAGGAGGAGUGUAGAGUAAUAUUGUGUGACUGAGCACAAUCCCCACAUUUGGUAGCCCCUGAGAUGGACUCCCGUGAUCCCUGACCCGAGCUAUUGUAACACUUUGUAAUCCCAUCCGUUUGACCAUAGACCAGACUUACUGACUUCUAACAAAUAGGAUACAACAGAAGUGUUGAGAUGUCACUUCCCAGAUUAGUUUACGCAGAAACUUUGGCUUUAUCUGAGGCACCCACUCUAUUGCUCUCCGGAUUGCUCCAAGGGAAGACAGCUGCCAUUUGAUGAGCUGCCCACAUGACAGAGAACAGGCCAAUAGCCCUCAAAGAAUUGAAACCUACCAACCAGGGGAGUGAGAUUGGAAGCAUAUAUUCCUUCGAUUAAGAGUUCAGAUGAGAAGACAGUUCCUGCCAAUACCUUGAUUGCAACCUUAUGAGAAAUCUUGAGGUGGAGACCUAGCUAAACCAUGCCUAGAUUCCCGACUCACAGACUGUGAGAUAAUAUACUAAAAAUACAUCACUAAUUUAGAAUAAAAAUCAAACAAGCUGUCGAAGAAUGUACACAAAAGUUGAAAAAAUAUUACACCAAAGAUGAUAGACAAAGCACGGCAAUCCAUUCUAAGAAAAGAGGUAUUUGCAAGGGCAAAUGAGAACAAAUGGAGCCAAAGCAAUAAAUUAAGAGAGGAAAAUUUUUGUAAGCUAUAAAAAUGAUCUGAGCUUGUAGUCAAAAGGAGUCAAGAUAUUGCAUGCAACAUUGAUGAGUAGAGACCCAUGCUUAGAAAUCAUCUGAAAAAAAGUAUUUUAGAAAUAAAGGGAGUAAGCCUGUAAAUGUUCAGGAAGAAUACAUGGAAUUGAUAUUUUUUAAAAUAACUAAAAUUCAUUCUCCUCCAAUACACUGGCCACAAAAAAGUGAAGCAACUUUUAUAUGAAAUGAAAAAAAGUGGUUGUCUUCUAAAGUUGUGCACAAAAGCCACUGAAAGACAUGCUCAGACAUAAAAGGGCUAUGAAAGUAAACAACUAUUAACUCUUCUUUUAAAAAAUAUGUAUAAACUGUAUUUAAUUGAAUGAGCAAUAAAAUAUUAAGAAAAUGGGAUACAUAAGUCUGCGUGGGAAACACUGAUGUCAGUUAAGUAUGUGGGUUGAAAUAAAAAUAUGAUAACUUUAGUCUGACUCUAAAAGUAAAUGUGUAUAAAUACUUAAACAUUCAUAGCAAGAAGUUUAAAGUGAUUUGAUUUUUAUUGAAUUUGAUGAAGGUAUUACAUUCUGGGGUGUUUUUGAAAAAGUGAAAGAGAACCAGUAAAAGAUCUUAUCAGUUAACUUUUACUAUGUAACAAACCACCCCACAACUUACUGAGCCAAAACAACCACUAUUUAUUUAGCUUAUGAGUCUGUGGGUGAGCAAUUUGGA
RNAcentral lists this long non-coding RNA (2417 nucleotides) under Homo sapiens (human). Its description in RNAcentral is "HSALNT0307620". The record is from RNAcentral. Lineage: Eukaryota; Metazoa; Chordata; Mammalia; Primates; Hominidae.